UGGGGAAUUUUGGACAAUGGGCGCAAGCCUGAUCCAGCAAUGCCGCGUGAGUGAAGAAGGCCUUCGGGUUGUAAAGCUCUUUUGUCAGGGAAGAAACGGUGGGAGCUAAUAUCUCCUACUAAUGACGGUACCUGAAGAAUAAGCACCGGCUAACUACGUGCCAGCAGCCGCGGUAAUACGUAGGGUGCAAGCGUUAAUCGGAAUUACUGGGCGUAAAGCGUGCGCAGGCGGUUUUGUAAGUCUGUCGUGAAAGCCCCGGGCUCAACCUGGGAAUUGCGAUGGAGACUGCAAGGCUUGAAUCUGGCAGAGGGGGGUAGAAUUCCACGUGUAGCAGUGAAAUGCGUAGAGAUGUGGAGGAACACCGAUGGCGAAGGCAGCCCCCUGGGUCAAGAUUGACGCUCAUGCACGAAAGCGUGGGGAGCAAACAGGAUUAGAUACCCCAGUAGUCCCUGAGCGGGCUGGCAAGGCGCAU
Molecule: ribosomal RNA, 472 nt
Filed under: uncultured bacterium
Lineage: Bacteria
Description: bacterial SSU rRNA
Rfam family: Bacterial small subunit ribosomal RNA
Source: RNAcentral